AGAGUUUGAUCAUGGCUCAGGAUGAACGCUAGCGGCAGGCUUAACACAUGCAAGUCGAGGGGUAUAGGUUUUCGGACCUAGAGACCGGCGCACGGGUGCGUAACGCGUAUGCAAUCUACCUUUUACAGAGGGAUAGCCCAGAGAAAUUUGGAUUAAUACCUCAUAGUAUUAUGAGUCGGCAUCGAUUUAUAAUUAAAGUCACAACGGUAAAAGAUGAGCAUGCGUCCCAUUAGCUUGUUGGUAAGGUAACGGCUUACCAAGGCAACGAUGGGUAGGGGUCCUGAGAGGGAGAUCCCCCACACUGGUACUGAGACACGGACCAGACUCCUACGGGAGGCAGCAGUGAGGAAUAUUGGUCAAUGGGCGCAAGCCUGAACCAGCCAUGCCGCGUGCAGGAUGAAGCAUCUAUGGUGUGUAAACUGCUUUUGUACGAGAAGAAACACUCCUACGUGUAGGAGCUUGACGGUAUCGUAAGAAUAAGGACCGGCUAACUCCGUGCCAGCAGCCGCGGUAAUACGGAGGGUCCAAGCGUUAUCCGGAAUCAUUGGGUUUAAAGGGUCCGUAGGCGGUUUAGUAAGUCAGUGGUGAAAGCCCAUCGCUCAACGGUGGAACGGCCAUUGAUACUGCUAGACUUGAAUUAUUAGGAAGUAACUAGAAUAUGUAGUGUAGCGGUGAAAUGCUUAGAUAUUACAUGGAAUACCAAUUGCGAAGGCAGGUUACUACUAAUAUAUUGACGCUGAUGGACGAAAGCGUGGGUAGCGAACAGGAUUAGAUACCCUAGUAGUCC
Molecule: ribosomal RNA, 787 nt
Filed under: uncultured bacterium
Lineage: Bacteria
Description: bacterial SSU rRNA
Rfam family: Bacterial small subunit ribosomal RNA
Source: RNAcentral